This 253-nucleotide long non-coding RNA is filed under the name Rosa chinensis. Its description in RNAcentral is "sRNA RchiOBHm_Chr5g0007031". The record is from RNAcentral. Lineage: Eukaryota; Viridiplantae; Streptophyta; Magnoliopsida; Rosales; Rosaceae.
CGGCACGGCCGCACGACGCCUUUUCUUUCUUCGACGGUGACGCCGUGAUGGACUGACGGUGCGCGGUGAGUCUGGGUUUCUCUAAUUCUCUUAAUUUCUACUUCUGGGUCUUCACUCUUCAAUCGAUUUAUGGCUUCCUCUUAAUUUCUGCUUUUGGGUAUUCAAUUUUCAGUCUUCAAGUCUGGGUUUGACUCGAACUCUAUUAGGUGAAGCAGCUUCGAUUUCAGUUUUUGACUCGAUUUCGGAAACUUCA